Molecule: ribosomal RNA, 1335 nt
Filed under: uncultured bacterium
Lineage: Bacteria
Description: partial 16S ribosomal RNA
Rfam family: Bacterial small subunit ribosomal RNA
Source: RNAcentral
CUUGGUGCUGACGAGUGGCGGACGGGUGAGUAAUGCAUAGGAAUCUGCCCUUUAGCGGGGGAUAACUCGGGGAAACUCGGGCUAAUACCGCAUACGCCCUACGGGGGAAAGCGGGGGCCUUCGGGCCUCGCACUAUUGGAUGAGCCUAUGUCUGAUUAGUUUGUUGGUGGGGUAAUGGCCUACCAAGGCGACGAUCAGUAGCUGGUCUGAGAGGACGAUCAGCCACACUGGGAUUGAGAUACGGCCCAGACUCCUACGGGAGGCAGCAGUGGGGAAUAUUGGACAAUGGGCGAAAGCCUGAUCCAGCAAUGCCGCGUGUGUGAAGAAGGCCCGAGGGUUGUAAAGCACUUUCAACAGUAAAGAAAAGUUCGAUGCUAAUACCAUCGAACCCUGACGUUAGCUGUAGAAGAAGCACUGGCUAACUCCGUGCCAGCAGCCGCGGUAAUACGGAGGGUGCAAACGUUAAUCGGAAUCACUGGGCGUAAAGAGCUCGUAGGUGGUUUGUCAAGUGGGAUGUGAAAGCCUUGGGCUCAACCCGAGAACUGCAUUCCAAACUGGUGAACUAGAGUACGGGAGAGGGAGGUGGAAUUUCACGUGUAGCGGUGGAAUGCGUAGAGACGUGAAGGAACGCCAAUGGCGAAGGCAGCCUCCUGGACCGAUACUGACACUGAGGAGCGAAAGCGUGGGUAGCAAACAGGCUUAGAUACCCUGGUAGUCCACGCCGUAAACGAUGAGAACUAGCCGUUGGAGACCUAAUGGGUUUUUAGUGGCGCAGCUAACGCGAUAAGUUCUCCGCCUGAGGAGUACGACCGCAAGGUUAAAACUCAAAUGAAUUGACGGGGGCCCGCACAAGCGGUGGAGCAUGUUGUUUAAUUCGAUGCAACGCGAAGAACCUUACCACCCCUUGACAUCCCUGGAACUGUCUGGAGACAGAUAGAUGCCUUUCGGGGAGCCAGGUGACAGGUGCUGCAUGGCUGUCGUCAGCUCGUGUCGUGAGAUGUUGGGUUAAGUCCCGUAACGAGCGCAACCCUUGCCCUUAAUUGCCAGCGGAUAAAGCCGGGAACUUUAAGGGGACUGCCGGUGAUAAACCGGAGGAAGGCGGGGAUGAUGUCAAGUCAUCAUGGCCCUUACGGGGUGGGCUACAAACGUGCUACAAUGGAAGAUACAAAGGGCAGCAAGCUGGCGACAGCAAGCCAAUCCUCAAAGUCUUUCGCAGUCCGGAUCGCAGUCUGCAACUCGACUGCGUGAAGUUGGAAUCGCUAGUAAUCGCGAAUCAGAAUGUCGCGGUGAAUACGUUCCCGGGCCUUGUACACACCGCCCGUCACGUCAUGGAAG